GAAGCUGACCAGACAGUCGCCGCUUCGUCGUCGUCCUCUUCGGGGGAGACGGGCGGAGGGGAGGAAAGUCCGGGCUCCAUAGGGCAGGGUGCCAGGUAACGCCUGGGGGGGAAACCCACGACCAGUGCAACAGAGAGCAAACCGCCGAUGGCCCACGCAAGUGGGAUCAGGUAAGGGUGAAAGUACGGCCCGUACUGAACCCGGGUAGGCUGCUUGAGCCAGUGAGCGAUUGCUGGCCUAGAUGAAUGACUGUCCACGACAGAACCCGGCUUAUCGGUCAGCUUCACUC
RNAcentral lists this RNase P RNA (289 nucleotides) under Citrobacter freundii. RNAcentral's name for it is "RNase P RNA component class A". It matches the Rfam family "Bacterial RNase P class A". From Rfam's summary of the family: Ribonuclease P (RNase P) is a ubiquitous endoribonuclease, found in archaea, bacteria and eukarya as well as chloroplasts and mitochondria. Its best characterised activity is the generation of mature 5'-ends of tRNAs by cleaving the 5'-leader elements of precursor-tRNAs. Lineage: Bacteria; Pseudomonadati; Pseudomonadota; Gammaproteobacteria; Enterobacterales; Enterobacteriaceae. The record is from RNAcentral.